GACGAACGCUGGCGGCGGGCUUAACACAUGCAAGUCGAACGGAAAGGCCCUGCGGGUGUGGGGUGCUCGAGUGGCGAACGGGUGAGUAACACGUGAGUAACCUGCCCUUGACUUUGGGAUAACUUCAGGAAACUGGGGCUAAUACCGGAUAGGAGCUGCUGCUGCAUGGUGGGGGUUGGAAAGUUUCGGCGGUUGGGGAUGGACUCGCGGCUUAUCAACUUGUUGGUGGGGUAGUGGCUUACCAAGGCUUUGACGGGUAGCCGGCCGGAGAGGGUGACCGGCCACAUUAGGACUGAGAUACGGCCCAGACUCCUACGGGAGGCAGCAGUGGGGAAUAUUGCCCAAUGGGCCCACGCCUGAUGCAGCAACGCCGCGUGCGGGAUGACGGCCUGCGGGUUGUAAACCGCUUUAGCCUGUGACGAAGCGUGAGUGACGGUAAUGGGUAAAGAAGCACCGGCUAACUACGUG
RNAcentral lists this ribosomal RNA (468 nucleotides) under uncultured bacterium. RNAcentral's name for it is "partial 16S ribosomal RNA". It matches the Rfam family "Bacterial small subunit ribosomal RNA", at positions 28 to 507 of the family's 1533-position model. The record is from RNAcentral.